GCCCUGUGGUAUGGAUCAGUAUGUGUGCUCUUCCUUUUAACAACUUUAUUCCUAAGAGAAUGCUUAGACAUUGUGUAUGUGAGACCAGAUUAAGUAGUUUGAGAUCAAAUGGUUUUUCAUCUGUAGAUUAUGGAUAUUAUGAACUGAAUGAAAAUUGAAUUGCACCCUGCUUAUGUUCUAAUACUAAGUUGCCAAAUCAACUUUCCUGGCAUGCUCACAACAUCUAGACUGCUUUUGCAUGUGAAUGGUACAUGUGGACUCUGUUUUAUUUUUUUAUUUUUAAAUAUGAUAUAGCAUUACUGGCUUGGAUUGUAAUCAGCCUGUAAUUGUCUUUUGUAUUAGAUGGUAAGGGAAAGAAUCACAAAAAUAUUGUGAUGAUGAUAAUCAGUUGCAUUGGUUGAGUGAUAUCCAUUUUAU
Molecule: unclassified non-coding RNA, 417 nt
Filed under: Hevea brasiliensis (rubber tree)
Lineage: Eukaryota; Viridiplantae; Streptophyta; Magnoliopsida; Malpighiales; Euphorbiaceae
Source: RNAcentral